AACAGCUUGCUGUUUCGCUGACGAGUGGCGGACGGGUGAGUAAUGUCUGGGAAACUGCCUGAUGGAGGGGGAUAACUACUGGAAACGGUAGCUAAUACCGCAUAAUGUCGCAAGACCAAAGAGGGGGACCUUCGGGCCUCUUGCCAUCGGAUGUGCCCAGAUGGGAUUAGCUAGUAGGUGGGGUAACGGCUCACCUAGGCGACGAUCCCUAGCUGGUCUGAGAGGAUGACCAGCCACACUGGAACUGAGACACGGUCCAGACUCCUACGGGAGGCAGCAGUGGGGAAUAUUGCACAAUGGGCGCAAGCCUGAUGCAGCCAUGCCGCGUGUAUGGAGAAGGCCUUCGGGUUGUAAAGUACUUUCAGCGGGGAGGAAGGGAGUAAAGUUAAUACCUUUGCUCAUUGACGUUACCCGCAGAAGAAGCACCGGCUAACUCCGUGCCAGCAGCCGCGGUAAUACGGAGGGUGCAAGCGUUAAUCGGAAUUACUGGGCGUAAAGCGCACGCAGGCGGUUUGUUAAGUCAGAUGUGAAAUCCCCGGGCUCAACCUGGGAACUGCAUCUGAUACUGGCAAGCUUGAGUCUCGUAGAGGGGGGUAGAAUUCCAGGUGUAGCGGUGAAAUGCGUAGAGAUCUGGAGGAAUACCGGU
This 646-nucleotide ribosomal RNA is filed under the name uncultured Pseudomonadota bacterium. Its description in RNAcentral is "bacterial SSU rRNA". It matches the Rfam family "Bacterial small subunit ribosomal RNA", at positions 74 to 713 of the family's 1533-position model. Lineage: Bacteria; Pseudomonadati; Pseudomonadota. The record is from RNAcentral.